UGGUGGAGUGAUUUGUCUGGUUAAUUCCGUUAACGAACGAGACCGCUGCCUGCUAAAUAGUUUGCCUAGUGAAUUUCACUUGGUAGAUCUUCUUAGAGGGACGUGCGUUCUAUUAGACGCAGGAAGAUAGCGGCAAUAACA
This 141-nucleotide ribosomal RNA is filed under the name uncultured eukaryote. Its description in RNAcentral is "partial 18S ribosomal RNA". It matches the Rfam family "Eukaryotic small subunit ribosomal RNA", at positions 1299 to 1458 of the family's 1831-position model. The record is from RNAcentral.